GCCGCCACCCUACCCUGCUCCGCCACCACGGGAUCCCGGCCGGUCGGCUUCCCCCGAGCACCCCCCACCCCCAUGCGCGUCGGUCGCCGCCCGAGCGCUCCUUCCCUUCCCCGUGCUAUCCCUACCACCGCCGCGGGCGCACCCCACCUCCAACCGCAUCGCCGGCAACCGUCGACCCUCUUCCAACCGGCCUCCAACCACCUCGCUCCCUCCUACACCGCCGGCAAGGCUUCUCCUCCCCCUUGUUUCUCGUCCGGAUCCGCUGCCCCUCCACGGGUCUGGCCAAACCGCACCGCCGGCCGUGGAUCCGCCGUCGGGACCAAUCCCGACGCUGCCUGCCUCCACCACGCACUGGUGCCCCACUGAACUCUGACCACCACGACGAACACCGAUGUUGUAGGUAUUUGCUCUCCCUCCCUCUCCCUGGUCUCUCUCUGUCUUCAAUAAUCUCUGUCGCUUCUUUAGGAUUUGAACUUCUUUGAAUUUGCCCAAAAAAUUAACUGCAAAAAAAUGUUUCUGUAUUGGCUUAUUGGGUCUGAACUGCAGGUCUCCGCCCUUUUGACUGAGUGAAGCUCUAGAUGAGCAGCGACAACAAGGGAAACAAAGCUGGAAAUGGAGCUCACGCUCAUGCACACCUCUCUCCACAAGCUCGUCGCAGCCACCGCAUCAGCUUCCUCCCGUCAGCGGCCCAAACCGCCAUCGCUGCCAGUGUGGCGCCUCAACCCGGGGUUUCUCUGUUCUGGCCAUGUGCGGCCGUCCAACAAACCCGCCUGACAUAGUCCAACUCUAAUGCCAAACAUCUUAUCAUAUGGCCAAAACAUGUCAAAAUGUAUUUUUCUUGUGUACAAACAGCGAUGGUUUUGUUAUCUUUUUGCGUGUCUGUUUUAUUUUUGUGAUAAGUUCACGCUAAUAUAACAACAUGUCGUUGUAUGAGUAGACACAUGGCACUUUCAUUUUUCAGAAACUUUCAGAAAAUAACUACACAGAGAAGUUCAUGUUUCAGAA
RNAcentral lists this long non-coding RNA (1005 nucleotides) under Triticum aestivum (bread wheat). Its description in RNAcentral is "long non-coding RNA (TAES_LNC008717)". The record is from RNAcentral. Lineage: Eukaryota; Viridiplantae; Streptophyta; Magnoliopsida; Poales; Poaceae.